CCUACGGGUGGCUGCAGUAGGGAAUAUUGGGCAAUGGCCGAGAGGCUGACCCAGCCAUGCCGCGUGCAGGACGAAGGCUUUCUGAGUCGUAAACUGCUUUUGAUAGGGAAGAAUAAGCCGCUCGUGAGCGGUGAUGACGGUACCUACAGAAUAAGCACCGGCUAACUCCGUGCCAGCAGCCGCGGUAAUACGGAGGGUGCGAGCGUUGUCCGGAUUUAUUGGGUUUAAAGGGUGCGUAGGCGGCCGCUUAAGUCCGGGGUGAAAGCCCGUUGCUC
This 275-nucleotide ribosomal RNA is filed under the name uncultured bacterium. Its description in RNAcentral is "partial 16S ribosomal RNA". It matches the Rfam family "Bacterial small subunit ribosomal RNA", at positions 338 to 610 of the family's 1533-position model. The record is from RNAcentral.